This 752-nucleotide long non-coding RNA is filed under the name Fragaria vesca (wild strawberry). RNAcentral's name for it is "long non-coding RNA (FVES_LNC002606)". Lineage: Eukaryota; Viridiplantae; Streptophyta; Magnoliopsida; Rosales; Rosaceae. The record is from RNAcentral.
AAACAGAGGCGAUCGCUCACGAUCGAUUAUCCAAGACAUGCAUCUAGGUCGAGUUCGUUCGUUAAGACUGAGGUUGAGCUGUAGAUUGUCAAUUCGCAAAUAAAACGAGUUAUUGGUUUUUAUUAUUGUAAACGUUUUAUUUUCGACGAUUUUCUAUAAAUGUAUUUGAGUUCUAUUUUAUUUUUUUUACUUUUCCCACUCACGCUUCAGAUUUGGUGUCAAGUGCUUGGAAACCACCGACACCGGGUCUGGGAUGUGACAAGAAGUGUGACUGAUGACAUGUGUUCGAGUUGGUAUGAGAAGCAUUCAAGAUAAAAGUGGAUCGCAAGUUAGCUGCACGAUACUUUAAGUCUACUAAAGAGAAACAUGAUUCAAUAUAACGCUCCUAGUUGUAUUCCUUAGUGUAUUUCAACAAGGUUGUAACUUUCAAUUGAUUAUUAUAAAAAAUAUGUAUUCUUCUUUAAAAAAAAUAAAGUAGACAAAAUUUUAUAUGAUAUGAAUCGGGAAAACAAUCACAAAAAUCAUAUACAAGAUACAUGCGGUGACUAGUGUUAGUUGUGAUUGGAAACACUAUAAGACCUCUAGCGUUAGUUGUAGUUGGAAACACAAUAACACCUUCAAAAUUGACUACUAGCUAGUUAUAAGAUUGAUUAAUUUAAUCCUUACAAGAUUUAUAAUGAAUCACAUAAAUCAUCUUCGGAAAAAAAAAUCACAAAAAUCACAUGUGUGUUAUUGAAAACAUUGAGUACAAG